This 5795-nucleotide unclassified non-coding RNA is filed under the name Leishmania donovani. RNAcentral's name for it is "gene:LdHU3.12.1510(CDS-product:hypothetical_prote in_conserved)". The record is from RNAcentral. Lineage: Eukaryota; Euglenozoa; Kinetoplastea; Trypanosomatida; Trypanosomatidae.
CUAUACUGACCACCCUGGCCUUUUUGUUUUCCGUGCUCUUCCACUCUCUCCCAGCAUCCAUCGCCGACGUGCACCUCCGCACCCGCUCACAACGUGCAAGUGCCGACGCCCGCCGCGCUCUCGAGUGUGACGCUGCGGAGAGGCAAAAUCAUAGCAUACGCGCAGGUAGAGAAGAGACUCUUCCCUCUCCCUCCACACACAAAAACGAUAAUCAAAACGUGAAGGCGUACACGCACACACAUCCUUCUCUCUCUCGUCGACAUUUUUAGAUUGUACCCAUACUGACGCACGGUCAGAGAGCCAGAGCGGGUGGGAGAUACGAACGUGAGCAGGCAGUCUUCUCGCAUCUUUUUCGUUGUCGGUUCCGCCGCUCCCUUGCAGAGCCAGCGGGCGUAGACGGAGGAGAGAGAGGCUGUGCAUCAUCUUUAACGGCACCUUCUCGACCCGCUCUCCGUGCUUCUAUCUUGCAAAACGUUUUCAGGUGAGCACCCCAUCUCCCUCCUCACACACCCUCACACCCGUCUUGCUGGAGGUGCCCCACACCUCUCCCAACGACUACCGCGCACACAAACACGCGCGCGUGCUCGUUUCUUUUCUGCUUUGUGUCUUUCUUCGCCUGGUUGUUUGGCACUGUCGUGCGCUGAGUAGACUCGCGGCUGCAGAUCACUUGCAGCGCAACUCGCAUGCCUCUGCAUGUCCGCGUGAGUGUAUUCCCCACGUGCUGAAGUAGCCAUACCGGCGGGAUAUCCAUCGAUCGACCUCUAUAUGACCUUGUCCAUACAAUAAACAAAACUACAUGCGCUACGCUGCCCCGCACAAACGAGGGUGAGCGGAAAAACGCGGCCAUAGCAGGCCAAACAUAUGCGAUCGGGGUACAUACCCGUGCUUGACUCUCGGACUGGGACUCUGCUCUCUCUGCGUGUUUGUUUCUUUUGCUUUCCUUCUGCUUCCGCCUCGGAGCACGGCGCCCCCCACCCCCGUCACGUCGGCGCUGUGUGUGUGUGCGUGUGCCUUCGCUGUGGUGCUCCCCUCCUACCGCGUGAUCGGUUGUCUGUGGAGGGCUGCCCAUGAGCACCACUGGCACUCCUGCCGUCGCCGCCAAGGAGCGCAGAGCGUCUUACAGUCGUGGAGGGGUGAAGGCGCGCGCGCUGCGCUCGCGGUCAAAGUCACCGCGAGCGCUCACGCCGCCAAAACAAGGGCAGCGGUCAUCUCUGAAAGUGAGCUCCUCAGUUUACGAUGCCUCGAGUGAGGCAACCGUGGCGCGACUCUGUCCUCGCCGAGCCAACAGUGCCUCGCCGACAAAGCCGCGGGCGCUAAGUUCGUUGGCUCGAGCCCCCUCCUCCCCAAUCCUGUGGUGCGUACACUCCGGUCAUGGUGCAGACGUCGAUGGCAUCGCCGCCGCUGCUGUCGCUGGCGCAGCCAGUCCUGUGUGUCGACCGUCACAGACUUCACCGACCGCGCCAACGAUAGCGGAGCAGAUCAGACGCAUGCGCCGCCUCCUGCGUGAGGUGAAGCUCCCUUUCAUGGAUGUGCACCUCAUAGAGACUUACUUGUUCCACCUCGCGUGGGGCACGCCCGCUAAGGAAUCCAUCGGCAAAGAAUCCAUCUCCGAUGUGCCCAUAUCGGGAGACUGGACAUCCCCGGAAGCUGGUAUCUGCCGUGAAGUUAAACGACCGUCUCCGCCUACACUGCCAGGAGUCGGACUGAAAAGCACUACCAUGGCAAGGCCUGUCACCGUGGCAACCAUCUCCCACGCGCCUAGCCUCGAGGUGGCCGAGGUUUCAAAAUCAGAGUGUUACUAUCCCUUCAAGACGUCUACAGGGGGCAGCGAGAGACACCGAGACGGACAUACCGACAACGCGGCAGCUGUUAGAAGACCACUGCGGUGGAGGGCGAGGCGGAUAGCUGAAGACGACUGCUUCGCGGCUGCACAAACGGAUCAGCACACGAAGGAUCUUGGCUCCUGUCCGUCUACCACAGAAGCCCCCGACAUCAUCGACAAAGCCGAUGCCAUGAGCUGCGCACUGGCAGAGGAAGGCCAUCCCCGCCCGCCACCGCGCCCACCACGACCGCAGCCGUCGUCACGUGCCGCCAUGGUCAGCCGCAGCGCCUUCACAGAGAGUUGCGCGCAGCAGCAGCAGCAGCACAUGCCGGCAGCCUUUCCGCUCUCCUUGUUGGGUAUGAUGGAGCGUGUGCUGAGGGGGUACAAGGCAGCUCUCGCCGUCGCCCUGCGUGCUGUCAUGCAUCGAGAGGCGGUUUGGACGGCGCUCCAGCAGUUUCUGAAUGUGGUGCGCUUGGACUGGGCGCCGUUAGCGGCUCAUGUAUCACAGGUAGGUGCGCCUGUCGCGCCACGGGCACAUGGCCAAUCGAAUGGGGCUGCGAACGGGACGCUUGGCUCCUCUGGUAUCUCGGGGGCCCUGCCAAAUCUGCGUUCGCCGCGUGAUGGUGUUGGCAACUCCGGCGACAUGGCCGUCGGCGCUUGCCGAUCAGAGGCGCUCGUGUCUCCGCACUACACGGCACAUGGAAUGAGCUCGUCGUCCAGCACCGCAGAAAGUGAUUGUGGCAACCCUAAGCGUAGCUCAACACCAGAAAAGCAGGCAGCGUUGCACACAUCCUCCGACCGAACCGGAACAGUCGUCGACGGGGAGACCAUGCGAAGCAGCAGCGCCCCCUUGCUCAAAAGGACCGUCUCGCCUGCGGAGAGCGCCGUUCGCCAUGAGGACACAAGUGUGCGCACAGCCAGCUGUGAGGACGAUGGGCAAGUCGCCAUUACUGGGCCACCACCCGAGGCUAUCGGCAGUGCACAGCAAGAUCGCCAUCCGCGUGGGCAGCAGCGUCCAUCGCUGCGCCUCUCUGCUGAGUCGCUUCGACAGACAUCUGUGCAGUACGCCCGCGGAGCCUCAAGCGAAGCAGCAGCGUUGAAUGACUCACCAGUGUGCAAGCCUCAGCCACCGCCACCGAGGAUUGUACCACGGCUGCUUCGCGUCCCUAUCUCCACGCCGUCAUCUAGCGCGGGUGCUGCGAGGGAUGCCACUAGCGCGCUUGUGCCGUCUCGCGCGCGCUCAGUGGCCGCCCAAUGUCGCAGGACUCUUGACCGUCCAGACCCACUUCUCUCAGCUGGAGCACGGGGGCCCGUGUGUAACGCUGCCGCGCAUCGAACACUCGCCCUUCGCCAUGCGUUUCCAGCUUUACCUGGCAAACAGCAGGCCUGCCGUGCGCAUCGAUCUGCUACGCCCGCUGAUGGGACUCGGCGCCGCUCUCGAUCGGCGCCGUGCGUGACAGAGGCCAAGCUUCCCUCGCCUUGCCCGCAGUGUGAUUCUUCUUUUUUCGUCACACCGCGCGCGCGGAUCAUGGCCAGGCACGACGCCGAGGCAUGCGAUGUCCCUUCGCGUACAAGGCGAUUAGUGCUCCACCCCGGCGAUUCCGUGUCUCCGAUGACGGCGCGAGUAUAUCGCCAGCUGCACGCGUCGUCUGCGUCGCCGGCCCCGCGGCGGCAGGAGCUGCACGAUGCGUCUCUUGUGACUCGUCCAUCAGAAGGUAAGAGUGCCCUGCGGCCACACAGCGGUCUUGUGCCGUCUCUCGGCAUGCGCCUGCACGCAGUCUCCCGACAGGUGUACGCGGACUGCCUAUAUCAUUACCUCUAUUACCUCCAGUGUACCACCCUCGCGGUGGUGGAGGCCGUCGACGAACUGCGGCGCCACCACCUCUCUCACGACGCUCCGUUCGUCGUCGAGCGCCGCAACUAUCUCCUUGAGGUGCUGAUGCAGACAUCCACGCUGGCAUGUGACGCGGCGGUGCAGUGGCUGAUGCAUGAGAGCACCUUCGAGAACGAAGGUGAUUUGAAGGAUGGAGGCGAUCAGCACCCCGUCGCUGGCCAGCCCAGCGACUCAACCAGCGACGCAGUGUACUGCUCGACCCUGCUUCCCGGAGCGGCACGGCAAACCUGCGACCAUGUCUCUGAGGCGAGGCGAUGGCCACCUGAAAUGCCCUGCUCCAACUCUUCUCGCCAGUGCGGUGACGCACCCGCGCCGGAGAUCGAGCCUGAAGGCGAGAGAGGUGCUCAAGGCACCAUGCACCGCGCUGUCGCGCGUGGCCAGUGGCCUGAACAGUUGCUGCGAGCACCGCUGAUGAGCACCCAUGCCAGUCUCGCCCGGUAUGCGGCGACGCCACGCUUUCUUGUCCGACUGGACGAAGCUCCGACCAGCAGUCCAGGCGCGCGGCAGGAGGCCGCAUCACGUACUACGCAACCCGGCGACGGCGGCCGCGGUCAGAACACGGCGCCCACGACUAUUACGCCGGUGUCAGCGUCCCUAUCGCCCUGGCGCUUGGUACUGCCAGCAGAUGUGCUGGCUUCGUACGGGGGUGGCACUGCGGCACCAGAGGAUGAGCGAUAUCAAACAAGGAUCGCGAGCGCCUAUGCCGUUCGCUCGAGCGCAGCGUCUUCUGCUGCCGCCCUGCGCAGGCGUCUGGAGAGCGGUGAGCAUCUGUUGCACCUUGAGGUGGCAACACAGCUCGCGUAUUUGCGGAGGUGCAUGCAGUGUGCGUUGCAGCACGAGUACAUGCUCUAUCUGCGCGGGAUGUCGGAAGUGCACCGCCGCUUUUACGCAGACAAGAGGAAGAUGGCGAUGUGCCGCCACGGUGCAGCGGCGCAAGUGUGUGCGACGGACUGUGACAGGAUGAAUGCCGCAGUGACGCGUGUUGGCACCCCUGCGAAGUACGGGAGCGUGGCCGCCACAAUGGCUCCUGACCGCUACGACCGCGUCUCUCUCAAGGAUGAGCUCUUGCGGACGGACUGGAUGAGGGAGCUGCGGGAAUCGUGGCAACUACUGAUGUCAGGCAGCAGCAGCGUAGCGUAGAGCCGAAGCCAGCGCCAAGCGCACGCAAGCCUCUGCGCCGCCCGGCACAAACGCCUCUUCUGUGCACGCGCUCUCCUUCUCCCUCUUCCCCCUUCCUUUCCGCAUCCUUUCUAGGCUGCAUGGCGGCGGCUAGCGUGUGUGCAUUCGCGUGUUGAACCAGUCACGCCAGUCCCUGCUUCGAACGGAGGCAGCCAGAAUGCCCCUCGGCCAUGCGACAAGCCUCUCUCACACACACACGUACGUGGCGAAGGAUGUGUGCGGACGGAUAUCUGCCCCAGCCCUUCCUCCUCCUCUCUCGUGUUUGUUUUAGUUCGACUGUUUUCGUGAAGGUUUUGCUUGCGCUUAUGGUCCGAAAAUCUCUUCAUGGCGGAGGGGGUGCCGAGGGUUACUAUCGCCCUUCCUUCUCCAUCGUCGUCUCCGGCUGAUAUCCACUAACCCGUUGGCUGCUUUGGCUUGUGGCUGUCGGGUGGGUCCUCUCGCUCGUCUCCGCCGCCGCCCCUCGCGCAACACGAGCGUGUUGGCAGCGCAUGAGCGCUACCUGUUCUUUUUUUUCGUGUGUGUGCGCGCUUGCUUGCAUUCGAAGUCAUUGUAUCGACGGCAUGCGCUUUCUCUGCACUGCGAGUGAGAAAAGCACCCCUUCUCCUCCGCCAACGCAUCAACGAUCCCCCUAUACUAGGUAGACGCAGAAACGCAAUAUCAUGGCUCUGUCCAGAGCAAGCGGAAGCCUGCACACACAAAAAAAAAACAAGCCGCUGACUUCCAUCAAGCACAACGUGUGCCAGCAAGUGAGUGCUUGAGAGGAGAGCCGUUGUAGGAGUUGCUGUCCAAGCUCGCUCAUUGCGGUGGCCGCCACGUGCGUGCUGGUCUCGCUAGAAGCGCGAUGGUAGCGCGUGAUGGGUCCGACUCUUGCAGCACGCUCAGCUUGCAACUCUUCUCUGC